GUUUUGCUUCUUCAACCAACUACGAACCUCUCUAGCAGUGAGAGCUUCAGCCACCUGUGGAGUCAGCAUGCUGGGAAAAAGUUACAUUGUUCCAUGUAUGAAACGACAGGAAGCAUCCCGAAGCACCCAACCUAUACCCGUCCUGUCUGAGCCAUUUUCUACCGCUGCAUCAAAAUUGCACUUAAGAAAGCCUUGCUCGGAGGUCUCCAUUUGACAGGAUGUUCAACACUUUGACUAGGCAGAGCUGAACCUGGACAUUCCUAUGCUGCUAUCCAGUCGGCAUGAGCUGCUUUAGCCUGCUGCAAAAUUUGAGCAGCACAAGAGUCGUCCAUUCUGCCACACAACCCCAUUUCGGUAUUCCAUA
This 364-nucleotide unclassified non-coding RNA is filed under the name Hevea brasiliensis (rubber tree). The record is from RNAcentral. Lineage: Eukaryota; Viridiplantae; Streptophyta; Magnoliopsida; Malpighiales; Euphorbiaceae.